Carassius gibelio (silver crucian carp) is the source of this 802-nucleotide long non-coding RNA. RefSeq lists it as uncharacterized. Lineage: Eukaryota; Metazoa; Chordata; Actinopteri; Cypriniformes; Cyprinidae. The transcript has 3 exons. The record is from RefSeq and is a predicted model, not a curated record.
ACACUUGGUUGCUAUGGUGGUUGCUAGGGUCCCCAUGAUGGUUGCUAGGGUCGUUGCUAGGGUACCCAGGAUGGUUGCUAGGGUAAUCGGGGUGGUUGCUAGGGUCCCCAUGAUGGUUGCUAGGGCCGUUGCUAGGGUACUCAGGGUGGUUGCUAGGGUAAUCGGGGUGGUUGCUAGGGUGUUGCUAUGUGGUUGCUAGGGUACCCGGGGUGGUUGCUAGGGCGGUUGCUAGGGUCCCCAUGAUGGUUGCUAGGGCCGUUGCUAGGGUACCCAGGGUGGUUGCUAGGGUAAUUGGGGCGGUUGCUAGGGUGUUGCUAUGUGGUUGCUAGGGUACCCGGGGUGGUUGCUAGGGCGGUUGCUAGGGUCCCCAUGAUGGUUGCUAGGGCCGUUGCUAGGGUACCCAGGUUGGUUGCUAGGGUAAUCGGGGUGGUUGCUAGGGUGUUGCUAUGUGGUUGCUAGGGUACCCGGGGUGGUUGCUAGGGCGGUUGCUAGGGUCCCCAUGAUGGUUGCUAGGGCCGUUGCUAGGGUACCCAGGUUGGUUGCUAGGGUAAUCGGGGUGGUUGCUAGGGUGUUGCUAUGUGGUUGCUAGGGUACCCGGGGUGGUUGCUAGGGCGGUUGCUAGGGUCCCCAUGAUGGUUGCUAGGGCCGUUGCUAGGGUACCCAUGUUGGUUGCUAGGGUAAUCGGGGUGGUUGCUAGGGUGUUGCUAUGUGGUUGCUAGGGUACCCGGGGUGGUUGCUAGGGCGGUUGCUAGGGUCCCCAUGAUGGUUGCUAGGGCCAUUGCUAGGGUACCCAGGGUGGUUG